RNAcentral lists this small nucleolar RNA (132 nucleotides) under Anas platyrhynchos (mallard). RNAcentral's name for it is "Small nucleolar RNA SNORA22 (ENSAPLG00020016430.1)". It matches the Rfam family "Small nucleolar RNA SNORA22". From Rfam's summary of the family: ACA22 is a member of the H/ACA class of snoRNA that guide the sites of modification of uridines to pseudouridines. Lineage: Eukaryota; Metazoa; Chordata; Aves; Anseriformes; Anatidae. RNAcentral also lists the same sequence under 2 other names. The record is from Rfam by way of RNAcentral.
UUGCACAGUGAACACCCAAGUGUGCUUUGUAGUUCCCUUGGUUUAAAUUCUGUGCUAGAGUAAUCUGUGCUUUUCCUCUGCAUUAGAAGGACUGGCAUUCCUUUUAUAUGUAUUCAGAAGGACAGAACAUUU